UACGUAGGGGGCAAGCGUUGUCCGGAAUCAUUGGGCGUAAAGCGCGUGUAGGCGGUUCGGUAAGUCUGCUGUGAAAGUCCAGGGCUCAACCCUGGGAUGCCGGUGGAUACUGUCGGACUAGAGUACGGAAGAGGCGAGUGGAAUUCCCGGUGUAGCGGUGAAAUGCGCAGAUAUCGGGAGGAACACCAAUUGCGAAGGCAGCUCGCUGGGACGUUACUGACGCUGAGGCGCGACAGCGUGGGGAGCAAACAGG
Molecule: ribosomal RNA, 253 nt
Filed under: uncultured bacterium
Lineage: Bacteria
Description: partial 16S ribosomal RNA
Rfam family: Bacterial small subunit ribosomal RNA
Source: RNAcentral